Molecule: long non-coding RNA, 1413 nt
Filed under: Macaca mulatta (Rhesus monkey)
Lineage: Eukaryota; Metazoa; Chordata; Mammalia; Primates; Cercopithecidae
Description: lncRNA (ENSMMUG00000060494.1)
Source: RNAcentral
AUGCCUCUCUUUAAUAUCUGCUUUCCUUCCAAAGAUAAACCAAAGACCAAUGUAUGUCGUAUCUGCCCCCGUCAGCCUUUGGGACAUAAUUUUGAUGUCAACAUUGGUUUAUCACAUCAUAUUCCUCCUGACACAACUCCUUCCCUUGGAAGGAUGAGUCCAUUAGUUAUUCGCUGGCUAUCAGAAACUUUUGCAUUGCUGGAGUUGAAUGACAAGUUUUUCACUUGUGUCAGGUGAUGAAGACAAAGUGUUGAUUUUUUGUUCAGAAAUAGAGGAAAACAAUUCUGAGAUACAGUGAGAGGCUCAGAAAAAGCAAUCCAGUAUCUAAGCAAAGAGAGGGAUGUGGCUGGGAAUUGCCGGAAAAGACUGAGAAACACCUGAAUUUUAAUUCAGCACCAUCACCGAAAAUCACCAACAUCACUAUUUUGUAGAAAUAAAUAUAUAUAUAUAUAAAUAUAUAUGUAUAUAUAGUUUUGUUUUAGAAAAACAUUAGAUUUACAGAAAACUUUCAAAAAAUCCCAGGGAGAGUUCCCACAUACUUCUCUUGGCUGUGACCCUUUCUCAGACUUUCCUUUUUCAUGAUAACCUUUAAGUUUUGAGGAGAGCACUGGCUAUGUAUUUUGUAGAAUUCCCCUCAGUUGGAUUUUGUCUGAUUUUUUAAAUAAUUAGAUGAGGAUUAUGUGUUUUGGGGAGGAAAACCUCAGAGGUAAAGUCCAUUCUUAACAUUGCAUCACGGACGUCACAUCAAGGGUGCACAUCACCAUGAGUUAUCCUUGUUGAGGGUAACCUUGAUCUUCUGAUGAGCCAGUGUCUGGCAAGCUUCUCCCCUGUCAAGUUACUUUUUUCCUUUAUUUCCAUACUCUAAUCUUGGGAAUGAAGUUGCCAUAUACAGCCCAGCCUUGACAAGGGUGGGGAUGGUUUUGCUCCUGGCCUUUGAGGGCAGAAUUCGCCUAUAAACUAUUUGGAAUCCUUCUGAAUGGGAAAUUUUUUAUUCUCACAAUUUACUUAUUCAAUUGUGUGUUUAUAUUAGUAUGGACACAUGGAUAUUUGCGUUGUGGGUUAUAAUGAAAGACUACUUUAUUUUGUCACUCAAAUUGUUCCAACUCUAGCCAUUGAGAUUUAUUUUAGUUAGUUCCUCUGUUGCUUCAAUAUAACCUCACUUUACUUUUUUUUUCUUAAUUUUUGAACACUUUCUUUCAUGCCCUGCAAGAGUCCCCAGGUUCAUUCUAUAUAUCUCCUGACCUGGUCAUAUAAUCAGGCAUUUCUCCAAGGAAUCAUUGUUCAUUUUACUGGAGAAUGACAUUAGAAAGCAACCUUUGAGCACUAGGUGUGUUCAUUGUUGUCAAUAUCAUUUCUUCUUGGCCUCUCGACUGACAGCGCAUAUGAAUCUUCAUGUGUAUACUAACCUGUGCA